RNAcentral lists this long non-coding RNA (1700 nucleotides) under Sus scrofa (pig). RNAcentral's name for it is "lncRNA (ENSSSCG00050067882.1)". The stretch from base 1630 to 1700 matches the Rfam family "tRNA". Lineage: Eukaryota; Metazoa; Chordata; Mammalia; Artiodactyla; Suidae. The record is from RNAcentral.
UCACUCAUUCUCCCUCACCCCUACUUUCACCCUAGCUUCAGAGGGGAUGUUAGAUAUUUGUUAUUCUGUGCACUGCACCAUGUUCUGUCCUAGGGGGUGAGCAUUAGACUCAAAUGCAGAUAUUGGACCCUAGAGUUUUCAAAGCUGCACAGGUAGAAGAUGACCUGGCAUUUGCUUGUUUACUUUGACUACCUCUUGUAGCGUAACUUUAAUACAUUGUUAUGUAUCAAAAAAGAGUCACUAUUUCUUAAUUUAGUCUUACUCUUCAAAAAAAGGAUGGAACCCACAACCUCAUGGUUCCUAGUCUGAUUUGUUAAUCACUGAGCCACAAAGGGAACUCCUGAUUUUAUUUCUUGUUACCAUACAUAACUCAUAAAUAUUUUGAGGGCAAGAAUUGCAUUUUUAUAGCUUUACAUUUCUGAUUCCUCCCCAGAGUUCAAUAAAUGAUUUUUACUGUUAAGAUGUUUCAACUAAGUUGCUAAUAUUUUGCAUGUCUCUCUCUCAUUGUGGUCAUUUUUGAAAGAGUCAACAGAUUUUGAUGAAAAUUAGUAUAUACGAAGAUUUCAUUGUGGUUCUGACCACCAUCUUGAGACACAAUGGCAGUUAAUCAACUGACUGUUAAGAGAUUUUCUCUAACAUUAUUAUCAGCAGGUUCUAUACAAUUUUAUACAUGUCAGCACUGAAAGUGUUGUGCUAUUCAGAGCCUCUGAUAGCACAAGGUACCAGUCAAAAAAUAUAUGAGGUAAGUUGAAGGAUCUAGAGUUAGGUUAGGUUAUGCAGAUCUCCAAAUGAGAGGUAAGGCUGAGGUAAAACAUCAAACUCUGGAUGUCUACACCUCAUUUGGGGGAACAAUGACAGCAGCAAAUAUGCAUUUUCUUAAUUUUUAUUGACCAAAACAUAAGGUUGUUUUUUUCAGUGUCAAAGGAGGCUAGAAAAAGUGCUGAGGAAUAGUUUCUGCUCUCACUUUGGGUCUGAUGCCUUUAGCUUACAAGGGUAACCUCUACUUCUUAAACUUCUGCAUUUUCCAGGAAUAGGCUUGCAGAUUCUUAGAAUUAAUGAGCUGGAAAGAACUUGACCAUCUGGUUCAAAGCUCUUGUUUAAAGAGCUUGCUUCCUCUGGGCCUUAUUCCUGAAGCCUUGACUUUGUACUGGCCCUAGAGUUUGGGAUUCAGUUCAAAUAGAAAAUUUGCUAUUAUGUUAUAAAAUGACAUUUUUUUACCCUUUCAUAUUUAAUAAAAUUUCCUAUAAAGGCUAGAUUCAUUUUUCACUUUUUAGACAAUUUCCCAUGAAAAAUAGAUGGAUUUCUCACUUUUCAGACACUAAACAUUUGAAAUUUAGGGAGUGGGAUGGACCAGGAAUGUGUGGUUAGUAGAUGCAAACUAGCAUUUGGAAUGGAUAAGCAAUGAGAUCCUUCUGUAUAGCAUAGGGAACUAUUAUCUAGUCACUUGUGAUGGGAUAUUAUGGACAAUAAUGUGAGAAAAAGAAUAUAUAUAUAUACAUAUAUAUAUACAUCCGGUCAUGUAUAUAUAUGACCGGAUCACUUUGCGGUACAGCAGAAGUUGACCGAACAUUGUAAAUCAACUAUAAUGGAAAAAAUAAAAAUCUUAAAAACAGAAAUUAGUCCUAGAGUUCCCUGGUGGUCUAAUGGUUAGGAUUCAGCGCUUUCACCACUGUGGCCAGGUUCAAUCCCUCGUCUGGGAA